This 484-nucleotide ribosomal RNA is filed under the name uncultured fungus. RNAcentral describes it as "eukaryotic LSU rRNA". The stretch from base 180 to 333 matches the Rfam family "5.8S ribosomal RNA". The record is from RNAcentral. Lineage: Eukaryota; Fungi.
CAUUACAAGUGAGGCUACCGAACGUUGGAAACAGCGGUUAGGAGCUUACACCCACCCGUGUUUACAUACUAUUGUUGCUUUGGCGGGCCGUGGCCUCCACUGCGGGCUCUGCUCGUGUGUGCCCGCCAGAGAACCAAACUCUGAAUGUUAGUGAUGUCUGAGUACUAUCUAAUAGUUAAAACUUUCAACAACGGAUCUCUUGGUUCUGGCAUCGAUGAAGAACGCAGCGAAAUGCGAUAAGUAAUGUGAAUUGCAGAAUUCAGUGAAUCAUCGAAUCUUUGAACGCACAUUGCGCCCUGUGGUAUUCCGCAGGGCAUGCCUGUUCGAGCGUCAUUUAACCACUCACGCCUAGCGUGGUAUUGGGGCACGCGGUCUCCGCGGCCCUCAAAAUUAGUGGCGGCGCCGGUGGGCUCUAAGCGUAGUACAUACUCCCGCUAUAGAGUCCCCCCGGUGGCUCGCCAGAACCCCCAAUUUUUACAGGUUG